Molecule: RNA transcript, 706 nt
Organism: Carlito syrichta (Philippine tarsier)
Lineage: Eukaryota; Metazoa; Chordata; Mammalia; Primates; Tarsiidae
Gene name: SNRPN upstream reading frame protein pseudogene
Exons: 1
Source: RefSeq, a predicted model, not a curated record
GAGUCUGUCACUGCGGCAGCGAGUCUUGCGCAGAUUGGAGCCGGCGGGAGAUGCCCGACGCCUCCGCCUGAGGAGCGGGCAGUGACGCGAUGGAGCGAGCAAGGGAUUGCUUACAUUUGAGACGGACUACAGAACAGUAUGUGCCAGAGGUGAAAGUCCAAGUCAAACGCAGAAGGACAGUCUCACUGAGCAACCAAGAGUGUCAGUUGUAUCCAAGGCGUUCUCAGCAACAGCAAGUACCUGUGCUGGAUUUCCAAGCGGAACUGAGACAGGCAUUCUUAGCUGAGACACCAAGAGGUGGUUCAAGGAGUAUUGGAACAACAAGGAAGCUGACUCAGCAAAAAUCAGGCUCCAUCUAAUGUUUGAAGCUUCUGCCCAACUUGCAUUAUUUCUAGGAGAACCUGCGUCAUACCUUUAUCUGUAGCCUUCCCCUAGGUCUUAAGAAACAUGAAAUUUUAACAGUGGACGUUGGAUUUGGUGGAACAGCAAUCAUGACUGUGGGCAAGGGUAGCAAGAUGUUGCAGCACAUUGACUAUAGAAUGAGAUGUAUUCUGCAAGAUGGUCAAAUCUUCAUUGGCACCUUUAAGGCUUUUGACAAGCAUAUGAAUUUGAUCCUCUGUGACUGUGAUGAGUUCAGGAAGAUCAAGCCAAAGAAUGUGAAGCAGCCAGAGCGUGAAGAAAAGCGGGUUUGGGGUUUGGUGUUGCU